GGGCAGGUAGCUCAGCUGGUAGAGCAACGGACUGAAAAUCCGUGUGUCGGCGGUUCAAAUCCGCCCCUGCCCACCA
This 76-nucleotide transfer RNA is filed under the name Phycisphaerae bacterium. RNAcentral's name for it is "tRNA-Phe". It matches the Rfam family "tRNA". From Rfam's summary of the family: Transfer RNA (tRNA) molecules are approximately 80 nucleotides in length. Their secondary structure includes four short double-helical elements and three loops (D, anti-codon, and T loops). Lineage: Bacteria; Pseudomonadati; Planctomycetota; Phycisphaerae. RNAcentral also lists the same sequence under 1 other name. The record is from RNAcentral.